GAAGGGACCUAGCGUAGUUCGGAAUUACUGGGCUUAAAGAGCACGUAGGUGGUUAAGAAAGUUGGUGGUGAAAUCCCAAGGCUUAACCUUGGAACUGCCACCAAAACUUUUUAACUAGAGUAUGAUUGAGGUAAGCGGAAUUUCUAGUGUAGAGGUGAAAUUCGUAGAUAUUAGAAAGAACACCAAUUGCGAAGGCAGCUUUCUGGAUCAUUACUGACACUGAGGUGCGAAAGCAUGGGUAGCGAAGAGGAUUAGAUACCCUCGUAGUCCAUGCCGUAAACGAUGUGUGCUAGACGUUGGGAAUUUAUUUUUCAGUGUCGCAGCAAAAGCGUUAAGCACACCGCCUGGGGAGUACGACCGCAAGGUUAAAACUCAAAUGAAUUGACGGGGACCCGCACAAGUAGUGGAGCAUGUGGUUUAAUUCGAAGAUACGCGCAGAACCUUACCAACACUUGACAUGUUCGUCGCGACUCUAAGAGAUUAGAGUUUUCGGUUCGGCCGGACGAAACACAGGUGCUGCAUGGCUGUCGUCAGCUCGUGUCGUGAGAUGUUGGGUUAAGUCCCGCAACGAGCGCAACCCUUACUUUUAGUUGCUACCAUUCAGUUGGGCACUCUAAAAGAACUGCCAGUGAUAAGCUGGAGGAAGGUGGGGAUGACGUCAAGUCCUCAUGGCCCUUAUGUGUUGGGCUACACACGUGCUACAAUGGUAUUUACAGUGGGAAGCAAAGAGGCAACUCCAAGCAAACCCUCAAAAAAUACCUCAGUUCGGAUUGUACUCUGCAACUCGAGUACAUGAAGCUGGAAUUACUAGUAAUCGCAGAUCAGCGCGCUGCGGUGAAUACGUUCCCGGGUCUU
This 855-nucleotide ribosomal RNA is filed under the name uncultured organism. Its description in RNAcentral is "bacterial SSU rRNA". It matches the Rfam family "Bacterial small subunit ribosomal RNA", at positions 527 to 1382 of the family's 1533-position model. The record is from RNAcentral.